AGAACGAACGCUGGCGGCAGGCCUCAAACAUGCAAGUCUAGGGGGUGUAGCAAUACAUCACCGGCGGACGGGUGCGUAACGCGUGGGAAUAUACCUAUUGGUUCGGAACAACUGAGGGAAACUUCAGCUAAUACCGAAUGUGCCCGUAAGGGGAAAGAUUUAUCGCCAAUAGAUUAGCCCGCGUAGGAUUAGCUAGUUGGUGGGGUAAUGGCCCACCAAGGCUCCGAUCCUUAGCUGUUCUGAGAGGAAGAUCAGCCACACUGGGACUGAGACACGGCCCAGACUCCUACGGGAGGCAGCAGUUGGGAAUCUUGGACAAUGGGGGAAACCCUGAUCCAGCCAUGCCGCGUGAGUGAUGAAGGCCUUCGGGUUGUAAAACUCUUUCGACGGGGACGAUAUGACGGUACCCGUAGAAGAAGCUCCGGCUAACUUCGCGCCAGCACGCCGC
RNAcentral lists this ribosomal RNA (448 nucleotides) under uncultured bacterium. Its description in RNAcentral is "SSU rRNA". It matches the Rfam family "Bacterial small subunit ribosomal RNA", at positions 26 to 518 of the family's 1533-position model. The record is from RNAcentral.